UGGGGAAUUUUGGACAAUGGGCGAAAGCCUGAUCCAGCAAUGCCGCGUGUGUGAAGAAGGCCUUCGGGUUGUAAAGCACUUUUGUCCGGAAAGAAAUCCUUGGCUCUAAUACAGUCGGGGGAUGACGGUACCGGAAGAAUAAGCACCGGCUAACUACGUGCCAGCAGCCGCGGUAAUACGUAGGGUGCAAGCGUUAAUCGGAAUUACUGGGCGUAAAGCGUGCGCAGGCGGUUUGCUAAGACCGAUGUGAAAUCCCCGGGCUCAACCUGGGAACUGCAUUGGUGACUGGCAGGCUAGAGUAUGGCAGAGGGGGGUAGAAUUCCACGUGUAGCAGUGAAAAUGCGUAGAGAUGUGGAGGAAUACCGAUGGCGAAAGGCAGCCCCCUGGGCCAAAUACUGACGCUCAUGCACGAAAAGCGUGGGGGAGCAAAACAGGAUUAGAUACCCCUGGUAGUCCACGCCCUAAAACGAUGUCAACUAGUUGUU
This 485-nucleotide ribosomal RNA is filed under the name uncultured bacterium. RNAcentral's name for it is "partial 16S ribosomal RNA". It matches the Rfam family "Bacterial small subunit ribosomal RNA", at positions 355 to 824 of the family's 1533-position model. The record is from RNAcentral.